UGAACACAAGUUAAUAUAAGACGGUAAAUCCUUACUGGAAUGACAAGAGGCAAGUAGUGUGGAUUAUGUAACACGGCUGAGAGAGGCGUCAUCCCUUGCCUGCUAGCCUCUACGCUGGCCUGACGACCAGGCUGAAGGCAACUCCGUGACUCCCAUUCCAUCUGUUCAUGGAUCAUCUUACAUUUUCAUGCAUUAGUGGUGAAUACCUACACAUUUUAUGCUUGAAAUGUGUUUAAUAGGUGUGUGAGGCAUAUUUAGGGUUUAAACCCGCAUUAUGUCAUGAAUGAACAAUGAACACUCCUGCAGCCAGUUGCUGAUUAGUGCGCUUUUAUAGGCUCUGUGGCGAUCUUCUGUCCAAGUGUAUCUCAGGAUUCCGUGCACAAUGUUGCAAAUACAGUUGCUCUUCCUCCUUGCCAGCUUUUGUCCUUUUUGGUAUACUCCUUUUACUAGCACUUUCUGCAGUAUCUUUUCAUGAUUUGAUGUUGCUUCUCCCUGCCUAGCUCUACUCUUGCGAAAGUAACCGUCAAACUCUUUAGUGUUUUUCAAUGGUGUCUAUUUGCUUUUGAUUUUCCCCAGCACCGUAGUUUUGGUUGUUUUUCCCCUUUCAAGACUUUUUGUUAUCUGUAAGCUUUAGUGUCACAUUAUGUUCGCUUGUCUAAUGCAUAUCAUCUCUGAUUGUUUCCCUUUUUUUUUUUUUUUUUAAGAUCAAUGAGCUUCCGGUCUUGGGCGGCACCACACGACACACCUGUUCAUCAUUGCCUAUGCCGAACUUAUUCGCGUGAUGCGCAGGUCAUGAGGUUCUCCAGUUUCUGCUAGUACCAAUCCAAAGCCUAACUUGCUAAGUAUUAAUGUAUAUAUGUAAUGCUUCGAAGUUAAAGGUUUACAGUUUUUUUUCCAAUUGCUAAAACACAAUUUUGAAAACUAGGUUUGUUUUAUUAAAUACUUAAAGGCCCGGUCACACCGCCUGAACUUUGUUGUAGCGUCCCUGGAGCGGUGAAAAAAUUCAUCACCGCUCGUAACCGCGCACAAAAUGUCCUAGUGGCGCACCGCUGAAGCCGGCGUUGCUUUAGCGGUGGUUUAGCGGUAGCGAACCUUGGUUUAGCGGUGAUGCGAGCGUUGAUAGAGCGGCGUUCUGCGCAUGCGGGCGUUGGCUCGGCGGGAGUAUAAAGUUGGUAUAACGCCAUUCCGCUUUUGACGAUGGAGCUGAACGGACCGCUAGUUCUACAUUUUUGAUCGAAGUCGAAGUUCAUCAUGACACGGAGACAAAAUAGGAAGAAAGCUGGAGAAGGAAAGGCAGCAGCCCCCAAGAAGAUGUACCUUUUGAUGGCAGCUGAACCAAUGGAGUCAGACCAGUCAGGCCACACCCAUCGCCACUUGUAGUACAGCCACAGCCACUGCUACCACAGCCCAGGCAGGGGCAGCUGCCGAUGAAGACUUUGAUGAUGAGACCGAGGAGGCCUUGACACAGGACCAGCCUGACGAUGAGGAGCAACCCCCUGGUGAUGACCAACCUGAGAAGGGCCGUGCUGCUGCUGGUGCUGAAGACUCCGACUCUCAGCACCCACACUUGGAGAGGGACGAUGAACAGCGUCAGCCUCAGAAAAAGUCUCGCCACAAGGCCCUCCUGCUUGACAAUGACACUCAGGAGCAACCCUUUGAGUGUUCCGGGAGCAUGAACUUUUGAGGAGGAAGGGGGCCACCGACUACAAGGAUACAAAGAAGAAGACGGAGCUUUGGACCAGGAAGGCAAGAGAGCUGGACAUUGAGGAGGGAGCUGAAGCUGUCAGGACAUGGUGGAAGUCAGUCCGGGACCUCUACACUAAGCUUCUCUCCAAGAAGUCUGGCCAGGCUGCACCGAACUUGACGGACAGGGAGCUGUUCAUACAGAGGAACUGCGCCUUGCUGCACCAGGAGGUGAAGCCCAGGAAAGGUCAGCCACUGAGAAGCAUACCCCUCACACAGGAACCUUUAGCCAGCCAGCCUCCAGCAGCCCAGCCAUCCGCUCUAUUCUAUAUCUAUGGAGUCGACUAUUACUCAAUACUCCAUUGUUUCUUUUUCUCAUACACUCUAUUGUUCCAUUUCACAGACACUCAAACAUUAAUUUUUAAAUCCAAAAUCCAAACUGUACUACUUCUAUUUUUUUGUGACGCCCUUAUUUGGUACCACACUCACAGGAUGUGCUAUUAUUUUGAAGGCGGGAAAUGUUGUGGUGUGUGUUGAGGUGACUUGAUGGU
This is a long non-coding RNA of Dunckerocampus dactyliophorus (ringed pipefish), 2234 nucleotides long. RefSeq lists it as uncharacterized. Lineage: Eukaryota; Metazoa; Chordata; Actinopteri; Syngnathiformes; Syngnathidae. The record is from RefSeq and is a predicted model, not a curated record. The transcript is spliced from 4 exons.